GACGAACGCUGGCGGCGUGCUUAACACAUGCAAGUCGAACGGAAAGGCCCUGCUUUUGUGGGGUGCUCGAGUGGCGAAAGGGUGAGUAACACGUGAGUAACCUGCCCUUGACUUUGGGAUAACUUCAGGAAACUGGGGCUAAUACCGGAUAGGAGCUCCUGCUGCAUGGUGGGGGUUGGAAAGUUUCGGCGGUUGGGGAUGGACUCGCGGCUUAUCAGCUUGUUGGUGGGGUAGUGGCUUACCAAGGCUUUGACGGGUAGCUGGCCUGAGAGGGUGACCGGCCCCAUUGGGACUGAGAUGCGGCCCAGACUCCUGCGGGAGGCAGCAGUGAGGAAUAUUGCACGAUGGACGGAAUCCUGAUGCAGCAACGCCGCGUGCGGGAUGACGGCCUUCGGGUUUUAAACCUCUUUCGCCUGUGACGGAGCGUGAGUGACGGUAAUGGGUAAAGAAGCACCGGCUAACUACGUG
This 468-nucleotide ribosomal RNA is filed under the name uncultured bacterium. Its description in RNAcentral is "partial 16S ribosomal RNA". It matches the Rfam family "Bacterial small subunit ribosomal RNA", at positions 28 to 507 of the family's 1533-position model. The record is from RNAcentral.